GGCUCUGUGGUGAAUAUAUCACUCUGAAUUGCAAAUUCAGCGAAGCAGCUUUAAUUCUGCCGGGGCUU
RNAcentral lists this transfer RNA (68 nucleotides) under Nothrotheriops shastensis (Shasta ground sloth). RNAcentral describes it as "tRNA-Cys". The record is from RNAcentral. Lineage: Eukaryota; Metazoa; Chordata; Mammalia; Pilosa; Megatheriidae.